Molecule: non-coding RNA, 46 nt
Organism: Manacus vitellinus (golden-collared manakin)
Lineage: Eukaryota; Metazoa; Chordata; Aves; Passeriformes; Pipridae
Source: Rfam
CCAAAGGCUCUUUUAAGAGCCACCCACUUUUUCAAGAAAAGGGCUU